ACGCUCGACACCUACGGGAAGCAGCAGUCGGGAAUAUUGCGCAAUGGAGGAAACUCUGACGCAGUGACGCCGCGUAUAGGAAGAAGGUUUUCGGAUUGUAAACUAUUGUCGUUAGGGAAGAAAAAAGACAGUACCUAAGGAGGAAGCUCCGGCUAACUACGUGCCAACAGCCGCGGUAAUCUGAGCGGGCUGGCAAGGC
This 199-nucleotide ribosomal RNA is filed under the name uncultured bacterium. RNAcentral's name for it is "partial 16S ribosomal RNA". It matches the Rfam family "Bacterial small subunit ribosomal RNA", at positions 326 to 539 of the family's 1533-position model. The record is from RNAcentral.